UACAGAGACUGCAAGCGUUAUUCGGAUUCACUGGGCGUAAAGGGUGCGCAGGCGGCCAAGUGUGUGAGGCGUGAAAGCCCGGGGCUUAACCCCGGAAUUGCACCUCAAACUACAUGGCUAGAGCAUUGGAGAGGGUAGCAGAAUUCAUGGUGUAGCAGUGAAAUGCGUAGAUAUCAGGAGGAACACCGAAGGCGAAGGCAGGUCACUGGACCGUUAUUGACGCUGAGUCGCGAAAGCCGGGGGAGCAAACAGG
Molecule: ribosomal RNA, 253 nt
Filed under: uncultured bacterium
Lineage: Bacteria
Description: partial 16S ribosomal RNA
Rfam family: Bacterial small subunit ribosomal RNA
Source: RNAcentral